This 243-nucleotide ribosomal RNA is filed under the name uncultured microorganism. Its description in RNAcentral is "partial small subunit ribosomal RNA". It matches the Rfam family "Bacterial small subunit ribosomal RNA", at positions 524 to 770 of the family's 1533-position model. The record is from RNAcentral.
UACGUAGGUGGCAAGCGUUGUCCGGAAUUAUUGGGCGUAAAGGGCGCGCAGGCGGCCGGUCAAGUCUGUCUUAAAAGUGCGGGGCUCAACCCCGUGAUGGGACGGAAACCGGCAGGCUGGAGUGUCGGAGAGGAAAGCAGAAUUCCUAGUGUAGCGGUGAAAUGCGUAGAUAUUAGGAGGAAUACCAGUGGCGAAAGCGGCUUUCUGGACGACAACUGACGCUGAGCGCGAGGAGGCGAUACG